UGAUAUUCCUAUUAUUUCUCUCUCUCUCUCUCCUUUUUUUCUCUCUCUCUUCUCGAAGAAUCGUUGUAAAUAUUCUAAUAAAUUAGCUACUGUGGUAAAGGUCUUAAUAAGUACAUUAAAGAUAGAAACAGGUAGAUAAAUUAUUUUUCUCUUAUUCUGUGGAGUUUUUAAAGUAUCAAAUAUA
Molecule: non-coding RNA, 184 nt
Filed under: uncultured Mallomonas
Lineage: Eukaryota; Synurophyceae; Synurales; Mallomonadaceae
Source: RNAcentral